GUUGUAUGGUUAAGUGACUAAGCGUACACGGUGGAUGCCUUGGCAGUCAGAGGCGAUGAAAGACGUAGUAACUUGCGAUAAGCCCAGAUUAGGUAGUAACAACCAUUUGAGUCUGGGAUUUCUGAAUGGGGAAACCCACGUGCAUAAGCACGUAUCCUUACCUGAAUACAUAGGGUAAGGAGGCGAACCGGGGGAACUGAAACAUCUAAGUACCCCGAGGAAAAGAAAUCAACCGAGAUUCCGAAAGUAGCGGCGAGCGAAAUUGGACUAGCCCUUAAGCUUUACACGCGUUAGACGAACGGUCUGGAAAGUCCGACGAUACAGGGUGAUAGUCCCGUAGUUGACGACGUGUGUUCAGUGAAAUCGAGUAGGGCGGGACACGUGAUAUCCUGUCUGAAUAUGGGGGGACCAUCCUCCAAGGCUAAAUACUACUGACUGACCGAUAGUGAACCAGUACCGUGAGGGAAAGGCGAAAAGAACCCCUGUGAGGGGAGUGAAAUAGAACCUGAAACCGUGUACGUACAAGCAGUAGGAGCAGGCUUGUCCUGUGACUGCGUACCUUUUGUAUAAUGGGUCAGCGACUUAUAUUCAGUGGCAAGGUUAACCAUCUAGGGGAGCCGUAGGGAAACCGAGUCUUAACUGGGCGUUCAGUCUCUGGAUAUAGACCCGAAACCAGGUGAUCUAGCCAUGGGCAGGUUGAAGGUUGAGUAACAUCAACUGGAGGACCGAACCGACUAAUGUUGAAAAAUUAGCGGAUGACUUGUGGCUAGGGGUGAAAGGCCAAUCAAACCUGGAGAUAGCUGGUUCUCCCCGAAAGCUAUUUAGGUAGCGCCUCGGACGAAUACUACUGGGGGUAGAGCACUGUUAAGGCUAGGGGGUCAUCCCGACUUACCAACCCUUUGCAAACUCCGAAUACCAGUAAGUACUAUCCGGGAGACACACGGCGGGUGCUAACGUCCGUCGUGGAGAGGGAAACAACCCAGACCGCCAGCUAAGGUCCCAAAUUACUACUAAGUGGGAAACGAUGUGGGAAGGCUCAGACAGCCAGGAUGUUGGCUUAGAAGCAGCCAUCAUUUAAAGAAAGCGUAAUAGCUCACUGGUCGAGUCGGCCUGCGCGGAAGAUGUAACGGGGCUAAGUAGUAAACCGAAGCUGCGGCAAUAUACUUUUGUAUAUUGGGUAGGGGAGCGUUCUGUAAGCGGUUGAAGGUGUGUGGUAACGCAUGCUGGACGUAUCAGAAGUGCGAAUGCUGACAUGAGUAACGAUAAAGGGGGUGAAAAACCUCCUCGCCGGAAGACCAAGGGUUCCUGUCCAACGUUAAUCGGGGCAGGGUAAGUCGACCCCUAAGGCGAGGCCGAAAGGCGUAGUCGAUGGGAAACGGGUUAAUAUUCCCGUACUUCUUACAAUUGCGAUGGGGGGACGGAGAAGGCUAGGUGGGCCUGGCGACGGUUGUCCAGGUUCAAGUGCGUAGGCUUGAGAGUUAGGUAAAUCCGGCUCUUUUUAAGGCUGAGACACGACGUCGAGCACCUACGGGUGUGAAGUCAUUGAUGCCAUGCUUCCAGGAAAAGCCUCUAAGCUUCAGAUUGUAAGGAAUCGUACCCCAAACCGACACAGGUGGUCGGGUAGAGAAUACCAAGGCGCUUGAGAGAACUCGGGUGAAGGAACUAGGCAAAAUGGUACCGUAACUUCGGGAGAAGGUACGCUCUUGAUGGUGAAGUCCCUUGCGGAUGGAGCUGACGAGAGUCGCAGAUACCAGGUGGCUGCAACUGUUUAUUAAAAACACAGCACUGUGCAAAAUCGUAAGAUGACGUAUACGGUGUGACGCCUGCCCGGUGCCGGAAGGUUAAUUGAUGGGGUUAGACUUCGGUCGAAGCUCUUGAUCGAAGCCCCGGUAAACGGCGGCCGUAACUAUAACGGUCCUAAGGUAGCGAAAUUCCUUGUCGGGUAAGUUCCGACCUGCACGAAUGGCGUAAUGAUGGCCACGCUGUCUCCACCCGAGACUCAGUGAAAUUGAAAUCGCUGUGAAGAUGCAGUGUACCCGCGGCUAGACGGAAAGACCCCGUGAACCUUUACUACAGCUUGGCACUGAACAUUGACCCUACAUGUGUAGGAUAGGUGGGAGGCUUUGAAGCACGUACGCCAGUAUGUGUGGAGCCGUCCUUGAAAUACCACCCUUGUAGUGUUGAUGUUCUAACGUCGACCCCUUAUCGGGGUUGCGGACAGUGCCUGGUGGGUAGUUUGACUGGGGCGGUCUCCUCCCAAAGAGUAACGGAGGAGCACGAAGGUGGGCUAAUCACGGUUGGACAUCGUGAGGUUAGUGCAAUGGCAUAAGCCCGCUUGACUGCGAGAAUGACAAUUCGAGCAGGUGCGAAAGCAGGUCAUAGUGAUCCGGUGGUUCUGAAUGGAAGGGCCAUCGCUCAACGGAUAAAAGGUACUCCGGGGAUAACAGGCUGAUACCGCCCAAGAGUUCAUAUCGACGGCGGUGUUUGGCACCUCGAUGUCGGCUCAUCACAUCCUGGGGCUGAAGUCGGUCCCAAGGGUAUGGCUGUUCGCCAUUUAAAGUGGUACGCGAGCUGGGUUUAGAACGUCGUGAGACAGUUCGGUCCCUAUCUGCCGUGGGCGUUGGAAGAUUGAAGGGGGCUGCUCCUAGUACGAGAGGACCGGAGUGGACGAACCUCUGGUGUUCGGGUUGUGUCGCCAGACGCAUUGCCCGGUAGCUAAGUUCGGAAUCGAUAACCGCUGAAAGCAUCUAAGCGGGAAGCGAGCCCUGAGAUGAGUCUUCCCUGAUACUUUAAGUAUCCUAAAGGGUUGUCGGAGACUACGACGUUGAUAGGUCAGGUGUGUAAGUGCUGUGAGGCAUUGAGCUAACUGAUACUAAUUGCCCGUGAGGCUUAACCAUACAACACCCAAGGGGUUU
This 2915-nucleotide ribosomal RNA is filed under the name Vibrio parahaemolyticus. RNAcentral describes it as "23S ribosomal RNA". It matches the Rfam family "Bacterial large subunit ribosomal RNA". The record is from RNAcentral. Lineage: Bacteria; Pseudomonadati; Pseudomonadota; Gammaproteobacteria; Vibrionales; Vibrionaceae.